Mustela erminea (ermine) is the source of this 225-nucleotide long non-coding RNA. RefSeq lists it as uncharacterized. NCBI's taxonomy places the organism in Eukaryota, Metazoa, Chordata, Mammalia, Carnivora, Mustelidae. The transcript has 2 exons. The record is from RefSeq and is a predicted model, not a curated record.
UCUUUGUUGUUGUUUUUUCUCUGAUCUCCUAUUAGAGCAUAAAAUUAAGCAAUCCAAAGAGUUUAUGCUUUUCUGAUGGGAAGUGAGUAAAAAAGAUUAUAAGAUUUAAAAACUAGGGGCAUGGGGUGCGUGGGUGGCUCAUCAGGGGAGCAUGCAAUUCUUAAGCUCAGGUUUGUGAGUUAGAGCCCCACGUUGGGUGUGGAACCUACUUUAAAAAAAAAAAAA